This 253-nucleotide ribosomal RNA is filed under the name uncultured bacterium. RNAcentral describes it as "partial 16S ribosomal RNA". It matches the Rfam family "Bacterial small subunit ribosomal RNA", at positions 524 to 776 of the family's 1533-position model. The record is from RNAcentral.
UACGAAGGGGGCUAGCGUUGCUCGGAAUCACUGGGCGUAAAGCGCACGUAGGCGGACUCUUAAGUCGGUGGUGAAAUCCUGGAGCUCAACUCCAGAACUGCCUUCGAUACUGAGAGUCUUGAGUCCGGGAGAGGUGAGUGGAACUCCUAGUGUAGAGGUGGAAUUCGUAGAUAUUAGGAAGAACACCAGUGGCGAAGGCGGCUCACUGGUCCGGUACUGACGCUGAGGUGCGAAAGCGUGGGGAGCAAACAGG